Molecule: ribosomal RNA, 446 nt
Filed under: uncultured bacterium
Lineage: Bacteria
Description: bacterial SSU rRNA
Rfam family: Bacterial small subunit ribosomal RNA
Source: RNAcentral
CCCCAGACUCCUACGGGAGGCAGCAGUGGGGAAUAUUGCACAAUGGGGGAAACCCUGAUGCAGCGACGCCGCGUGAGUGAAGAAGUAUUUCGGUAUGUAAAGCUCUAUCAGCAGGGAAGAAAAUGACGGUACCUGACUAAGAAGCCCCGGCUAACUACGUGCCAGCAGCCGCGGUAAUACGUAGGGGGCAAGCGUUAUCCGGAUUUACUGGGUGUAAAGGGAGCGUAGACGGCAUGGCAAGUCAGAUGUGAAAGCCCGGGGCUCAACCCCGGGACUGCAUUUGAAACUGUCAGGCUGGAGUGCAGGAGAGGUAAGUGGAAUUCCUAGUGUAGCGGUGAAAUGCGUAGAUAUUAGGAGGAACACCAGUGGCGAAGGCGGCUUACUGGACUGUAACUGACGUUGAGGCUCGAAAGCGUGGGGAGCAAACAGGAUUAGAUACCCUGGUA